CGUGUAGGCGGUGUUGUGUGUCUGGUGUGAAAGCCCUCGGCUCAACCGAGGAAGUGCAUCAGAAACUACAACGCUAGAGUGUGAGAGAGGUUAGCGGAAUUCCGAGUGUAGAGGUGAAAUUCGUAGAUAUUCGGAGGAACACCAGAGGCGAAGGCGGCUAACUGGCUCACAACUGACGCUGAGACGCGAAAGCGUGGGGAGCAAACA
RNAcentral lists this ribosomal RNA (207 nucleotides) under uncultured bacterium. RNAcentral describes it as "partial 16S ribosomal RNA". It matches the Rfam family "Bacterial small subunit ribosomal RNA", at positions 568 to 774 of the family's 1533-position model. The record is from RNAcentral.